UUAAAAUUGAAUGGCGAAUGUCGGUAUGGUCUCUUUUUCCAAAGAAAGGUUUCGAUCAAGCGAAGUGACUAGACCGAACACUCGUGCUAUAAUUUUAAAA
Non-coding RNA from Drosophila simulans, 100 nucleotides. NCBI's taxonomy places the organism in Eukaryota, Metazoa, Arthropoda, Insecta, Diptera, Drosophilidae. The record is from Rfam.